CAAAACUGAGAAAAAAACUAUCUCAUGAAUUAUGACAGCUUUGUCCUGAAUACAUUAACAUUAAUACCUUAUUUUUCUUUCCGCAUUUUACACAGGAUUAUUUGCAUUCAUCAACAAGUGGUGGCUGAGGAAUGGCUUCACCCCUCCUACAUGGCUUGGCGAGGACUGGUGAUGGGUGACCCUUACCUGAGGAAUCACUGCAACAUCUUGAGGCACCUGUGCUGUUUUCCAUCUGCAGGUGCAGCAUGGAUCUGUCCUCGUGCUGCUGCAGCCGGUGUGGUUGGAAGGGCACCAGGGACCUGGCUCUGA
This 309-nucleotide long non-coding RNA is filed under the name Anas platyrhynchos platyrhynchos (common mallard). RNAcentral's name for it is "lncRNA (ENSAPLG00000028641.1)". Lineage: Eukaryota; Metazoa; Chordata; Aves; Anseriformes; Anatidae. The record is from RNAcentral.